CCCCCGCGGGCGAGCCCGGAGCGCAGGCAGCGGCCAGCGGGACCUCACCGGCCGCCGGGCCGCGUCCCUCGCCCUGGUUCUCCCGGACGUGCGCGGCGCCACACCGGCCUCCGCUCCCGGGCUCGCCCCGGACCGGGAUCCACGCCCACCCCGCGCCCCGCGCCCCGGACCAGGAGCCAGAAAAGCAAGCACCCGCCACGCGCGGGCAAGUUGGAGACUUACCUUCCCCGGAUGCGCUACACCAUCAAUGGAGCCACUGAAGACGCGGGUUCACAUCCCGGGGGAACACGGAGCGGGUUCGGACAGCCCGCUAGGGACUCUGGAAAUUCUGAUGAGCAUGAACGUUUUCAAAUAAGGCCGUGGCAAAAGAUUAAGAAAGAGGAAAACGAGACUGGCGGGCCGCGCCGCCUUUUCGAAAAGAGUAAGAAAAAAAAGCCUGAAAAAUCUCAUCAGGGAAUAAAGAAGGGACUAUAACCGCCGACAGAGCGGGGAUUUUAGAGAGAGAGAGCAAUGUACACAACUCUGUGCCAGAGAGGAAGGAAGAGGGAUUGAAACCUCAGUGAGAAUCAUUGAUCUGCGGCCUCCUACACACCCUCUACUGGGGAUCAAGACCAAAACCCGCAUGUGCCCUGACCAGGAAUCCAAAUGUGACCUCCCACAAUCACUGAACCACACUGGCUGGACCAACAUUUCCUUUUAGGAAAAAUUUAACUAGCAGAUGUUAUUGGACUGUGACCCACGAGAUCUAAAAGCAAAUAGGACUUUGCCAUUACCUUUCCAAGUAAUUUUUAAAAUAUUUUAUUUGAAUUUAUUGGGGUGAUGUUGGUUAAUAAAAUUAUAUAGGUUUCA
This is a long non-coding RNA of Eptesicus fuscus (big brown bat), 849 nucleotides long. RefSeq lists it as uncharacterized. Lineage: Eukaryota; Metazoa; Chordata; Mammalia; Chiroptera; Vespertilionidae. The record is from RefSeq and is a predicted model, not a curated record. The transcript is spliced from 3 exons.